CCUACGGGUGGCUGCAGUGGGGAAUAUUGCACAAUGGGCGCAAGCCUGAUGCAGCCAUGCCGCGUGUGUGAAGAAGGCCUUCGGGUUGUAAAGCACUUUCAGCGGGGAGGAAGGCGGUGAGGUUAAUAACCUCAUCGAUUGACGUUACCCGCAGAAGAAGCACCGGCUAACUCCGUGCCAGCAGCCGCGGUAAUACGGAGGGUGCAAGCGUUAAUCGGAAUUACUGGGCGGAAAGCGCACGCAGGCGGUCUGUCAAGUCGGAUGUGAAAUCCCCGGGCUCAACCUGGGAACUGCAUUCGAAACUGGCAGGCUAGAGUCUUGUAGAGGGGGGUAGAAUUCCAGGUGUAGCGGUGAAAUGCGUAGAGAUCUGGAGGAAUACCGGUGGCGAAGGCGGCCCCCUGGACAAAGACUGACGCUCUGGUGCGAAAGCGUGGGGAGCAAACAGGAUUAGAUACCCCGGUAGUC
This 465-nucleotide ribosomal RNA is filed under the name uncultured Klebsiella sp. Its description in RNAcentral is "bacterial SSU rRNA". It matches the Rfam family "Bacterial small subunit ribosomal RNA", at positions 338 to 795 of the family's 1533-position model. The record is from RNAcentral. Lineage: Bacteria; Pseudomonadati; Pseudomonadota; Gammaproteobacteria; Enterobacterales; Enterobacteriaceae.